CGUGGCCUACGGGAGGCAGCAGUAGGGAAUUUUCGGCAAUGGGGGGAACCCUGACCGAGCAACGCCGCGUGAACGAAGAAGUUAUUCGUAAUGUAAAGUUCUUUUAUCAGGGAAGAAAGAGGAAUUUGACGGUACCUGACGAAUAAGCCACGGCUAACUACGUGCCAGCAGCCGCGGUAAUACGUAGGUGGCAAGCGUUAUCCGGAUUUAUUGGGUGUAAAGGGCGUGUAGGCGGGAAUGCAAGUCAGAUGUGAAAACUAUGGGCUCAACCCAUAGCC
This 278-nucleotide ribosomal RNA is filed under the name uncultured bacterium. RNAcentral's name for it is "partial 16S ribosomal RNA". It matches the Rfam family "Bacterial small subunit ribosomal RNA", at positions 333 to 621 of the family's 1533-position model. The record is from RNAcentral.